GAGAAAUGGAAGCAUUUAGGCAAAAACAAGGGAGUUAUUUUAUGCAUGAACAUCUAUUCUUUGGGGGUCCUAUCAUAUGUGCCAGGGACAGAAGAAUUCUUUUUCUUCCAACACCCAUAAUCAGUGCUCCCAGCUGGCAGCCUGGUGCUGGUGUCUUUGUCUCCGUGUCAGUGCAGUCACAGUGAUCUGUGGGUGGCUGGCUCUUAGUAAGCACAACUUUGUUCCUAAGGGAAACAAUCAACCGCCGAUUUCGUGUAUGUUCCCCUAUGGAACGCCCUCGUGAUGGGCAGACAAUAUGGUGGGCUUUUCCUGGGCAGUUCCUAGAACUUAGGAAACCGUUUCUUCCAAGUCGUGACCUUAUGCCCACUUACCCUGCCCCAGUGGUUGUGCUCAGACCUCUCGCCAGCCAGCAGUGGCCCAGGGGGAUGGAAACACCCACUAAGCAGUGUGCCAAGCCAGGAGGUCAGCAUGUGAGCACACAGCAGUGUCUGCCCUCUAGGCCAAGGUGCACAGACAGCUGGAGUUUUGGGGGCCUUUGCCCCACUCUCCAAAUCAGCCUAGAAACCAGAGCUCCUCCUCUUAGUGAAACAGAUGGCUGUGGGCAAUUAGAGCCCUGAACUGCUCAGUGUGUUCCUUCCGUUCUCCCCCUCCCCCAAAAAUCACACAUCCCACUUGCUCUCAAUUACAGGAUCUGAGACCACAAAGCUCCACAGAGGUCACAGCUGCUGCAGGUCCUGCAUCCCUUCCUCUUUCUGGCUUCUGCAAACUCGCCACUCACCUGAGGGAGCCCCUAGUGUGGUAGCUUGGAAACCCAAGGAAGAACUGAAGGGAGCUCAAAGCCUCUCAAAGACAGCGAACACGUGGCUGCCUUCUUUUCUGUCCUGUCCUCUUCUGUGUGGAUCCUUUGAGGUGAGGAGAGGCCCACUGGUGAGUCCCUGAGAUGUGGUAACUGAGGUGACUGUCACUCGGCGCUCCUGGGGUCUCCCUUAUCCUUGGCUGGGUGGCCUCCAAAGCAGGCCCUUACCUUUUAAUGCGGUCUUAUCUUUAAAAGUGGGCCCACACCCACUCACCCCACUCACCCACAGCCCUGCAGAC
RNAcentral lists this long non-coding RNA (1095 nucleotides) under Equus asinus (donkey). RNAcentral describes it as "lncRNA (ENSEASG00005025586.1)". The record is from RNAcentral. Lineage: Eukaryota; Metazoa; Chordata; Mammalia; Perissodactyla; Equidae.